UAACAAAUUGUAUUUAAUAUCAUGUAAUAUAAUGAUAUGCUUACAAACCAACACAUGGUUUCAAUUUACGUUGAUAUCCCUGAGAUAUCCCUAAUCAAAAUAUAGAGUAACAUGCUUUAAUAUUGAACAUCAUGGGAUAUAGAUAUUAUGUUGGUCAAAGUGUUACUAUUUAGUCAUACAAAUACAUGCUUUCUACAUUCACAACAUGUGUACAGUGUAAAUAACACACGAACUUUAUUGUUGUGUAGGCCGCGUCGGAAUGGAAUUAGCAAUUCGGGAUGUGGUCUACGAAGGUGAUGAACUGUUUGUUGGCCGGGUAUUCAAAAAUAAACAGGAUUGCAAUGUCAAAUUAGCAGUUCACGCACUUAAUAGACGGUUCCAUUUCCGUCGUGAUCGUUCCUGCAAGAAACUAAUGACUUUAACCUGCAUUUCUGAAACAUGCCCUUGGCGUGUAUACAUCGUCAAGCUGGAGGAUUCUGACAAUUACCAAAUUCGAAGUGCUAAUCUCGAGCACACUUGCACUGUAGAAGAAAGGAGUAAUUACCACAGAGCAGCAACAACGCGGGUCAUAGGCAGCAUAAUUCAGUCUAAAUAUGCGGGCAACAGUCGGGGGCCAAGGGCUAUUGACCUUCAACGCAUCCUAUUGACCGAUUACUCAGUUAGAAUUUCCUAUUGGAAGGCAUGGAAAUCAAGAGAAAUUGCGAUGGAUAGUGCACAAGGAUCAGCUGCGAAUAGUUUCACUCUGUUGCCAGCCUACCUACAUGUGCUGCGCGAGGCUAAUCCAGGUUCAAUUGUUGAUCUAAAGACAGAGGUUGAUGGAAAGGGUAAUCACCGGUUUAAGUACAUGUUCUUAGCAUUCGCCGCAUCGAUUCAAGGUUUCUCUUGCAUGAAACGAGUCAUUGUUAUUGACGGUGCCCACCUGAAAGGCAAAUACGGUGGAUGCCUCCUAACCGCCAGCGGCCAAGACGCUAAUUUCCAGGUUUUUCCCAUAGCGUUUGGCGUGGUCGAUAGCGAAAACGAUGACGCAUGGGAAUGGUUUUUCCGUGUUUUGAGCACCGCUAUACCGGAUGGAGAUAACCUGACCUUCGUCUCAGACAGACAUUCCUCCAUUUAUACCGGUCUUCGAAGGGUAAUCCUUAAAAUUGAUAAUUUUAAAUGUUACAUGUUAUAUACAGCAUAUGGCUCUUAUUUAUUUUAGAACACAUGCUAUCUACCAAUAUGCCCUGCUAUAUACGUAUAACACAUGUUAACAUGCAGGUCUACCCAAAGGCUAAGCACGGGGCAUGUAUUGUUCAUCUGCAACGAAACAUAGCGACCUCAUAUAAGAAGAAACACUUGCUGUUCCACGUGUCAAGAGCUGCGAGGGCUUUCCGGAUCUGUGAAUUUCAUACAUAUUUCAAUGAGGUGAUAAGACUAGAUCCGGCUUGCGCACGAUACUUGGAAUCUGUUGGUUUUUGCCAUUGGACACGCGCUUAUUUCCUUGGGGAAAGAUACAACGUCAUGACUAGCAAUGUGGCGGAGUCUUUGAACGCAGUCUUGAAAGAAGCCCGUGAACUACCAAUCAUUUCCUUGUUAGAGUUCAUUCGGACCACAUUAAUUUCCUGGUUUGCUAUGAGGCGUGAGGCAGCUAGAACCGAAGCAUCGCCUCUACCACCAAAGAUGAGAGAAGUUGUUCAUCGUAACUUUGAAAAAUCAGUCCGAUUUGCGGUUCAUCGCCUUGACAGGUACGAUUACGAGAUAAGGGAGGAAGGCGCAAGUGUCUACCACGUGAAGCUUAUGGAACGCACAUGCUCCUGUAGAGCAUUUGAUUUGCUUCACUUGCCUUGCCCCCACGCAAUAGCGGCUGCAGUGGCUGAAGGCGUUCCAAUACAAGGACUGAUGGCGCCGGAAUAUUCUGUUGAAAGCUGGAGAAUGUCUUACCUAGGUACCAUAAAACCUGUACCCGAGGUUGGUGACGUUUUCGCUUUACCUGAACCAAUAGCCUCUCUCCGCCUCUUCCCGCCAGCCACGCGCCGUCCAUCGGGACGGCCGAAAAAGAAAAGAAUUACUUCAAGGGGGGAAUUCACGGUAAACGUUAUACAUUUGGAAUUUACUGUAACACCCUUAGUGUUUUAAAUUCCUAACAAUUGCUCAAUCUUCAUCUCAGUGUCCCCAGCGACAAGUAACACGUUGUUCUCGUUGCACAGGCGCCGGCCAUAAUCGCGCCACGUGCAAAAUGCCCAUAUAAAGGUACAAUGUUAUUUUAUACCGUAUCAUGCUAUAGAUAGAAACAACGUUCAUACAAUUUUUAUAAUAUCAUCUGCAGGGGGUGUUGUGUCUCGCGUCUUCUUCAUGAGUUAUAUGUUGUGUUAUAUAAGCAAGGGGAAGUCCAUCACAUAUGGAUAUUAUGUAAAAGGAAGGGUCACUUGGUAUAAUGUACAUAUUAGCAAUUAGAUGUGGCAAUUAGGGUGGCAACUAAAAGCUACGUUGAGAAUGCAAUCAAGGGACCCCAAUUCCAGUAAGUGCCGUAUAGAAGACCACCUUCUACGGACAAAGGAUAAUGUUCUGUUUUUUGGCUUUUGUGUAGAAAAAAACUUUAUGUUCCCCCUUUUGUAAACAGACUCAUGAUAUUAAGUAAAGACGCGAGUGUUUAAUUAUUAAUACGUGGUGUAAUGUAAAAUUCAGAUCCACAGACAAGGGGUUAAAUGAGGAAAUAUAUGAAACAAAUAUAACGAAUAGAUAUAGCACCAUUACUGGCAAAUUAAAGUCCAUAAAAAUGUUCAGCCAUCAUGAACUGACAUUUUAUGUCAAGGAUUCCAACAAGAUGAAAUCAUUCCAACCAUAAAUCAAAAUAAGAUGCUAUUCGAGAAAACCACAUGUGAUGUUUAGCAAUUGCGUGAGGUAAAACCGGGCACCGAGAGUUGAACAGUUCCACAUAGGAUUCCUUAUGCCACUUCGACUAUUUUCUCAGAACCCAAUAAGUGCUUCUGCACCACACAUUUCACCCCCCAACUACGCCACAUAAAUGAGUGAAUAUAUACACUAACAAUAUUGGACUAUAUAUACAUAUUGGCUAUCAACAUCUCCGUCAAUAAUAAAACGUCCUUCGGCCUACUUACACAUGCUUGCAAGGGUAGAAAUGAGACAGUAUCGUCAGAAUCCAGUACUCAUGCGGGUGGGUGGGCUGUUCAGAAAACAAUUUGACGACGCAUUGGAGGCAAAUAACCCGGAAGCACAUUAUCUUGAAGGGCUAAGGUAUGCUUGUUGGGAGAAAGAUUUAGUCAUGGCAAAAAAACACAUUUUUAAAGCUGUAAACAAGGUAGAUGAGGCGCUGUUUGUUAUGGCUAUGUUGUCUAUUUGUGGUGGUGAGAAGGAGCUAGGUGAAUUUUUCACUGAACAACUGUUUGCCCUACCUUGGGCCGAAGUAUUAGCUAUGGGUGAUUCUUUAUUUUCAGCUCUUGAACGAAUGGCUGUGCGCCAUGGUACAGCUUACAAGCUUACAUGGAAUGGGGCCCAUCCUCCAUGUGUAUCAAUCCACAACAUAUAUAAUAGAUGCGAAGAGUGCUACAUUUUCUUUUGUUCAAAAGAAUUCUGUCGGCGAUGUUAGAUGGUACAAGCUGCACCCAACGUGGAAAUCUCGUAACCAGAAGGGAAGCAUCCUUUAAAAUAAUAUGCUGUUAUUUUAUAUUAACCCGCGUAGCAUCUAUAAAUCACAUUCUGUUUGUAAAAAGUACAUGUUUUAUGUCUAAUGUGUUAGUCGUUAUGAUAAUGGUGUCAAAUAACGAUAUUACAUUAAAAUGGCGUGAUAUGUACCUAUAUUACAUGUUUUAUAUUGACUUUUUGAUCAUGUUAAUCUGUCUAAGGUGUAUAAUCCAAAAUAUUUUUAAACGGGUCAUUAUUAUUGCAAAGUUUACAACCGGGUAAGUCCUAAAUAUCAACUAAGCCACAGUUAGAAUGCAUCUAUAUUUAAACGAAUCAUGAGGUAAAUAUAAAACGCACGGUACAUAUUAGAAUUGCAGUGACAUAUGUUUACUACACAAAACAGGUGCAUAGAAAGAACAUUAGGUACUCAACUGUUAGGUGUCUAAUAUAUUACAGAGUCAGGUAAUAGAAGGUAAACACACUAGAACAUUUGGGUCAGACAAUCCCAUUAGCUAAUUCAAAACCGGCAAUGAAAUAUUUGUUAGCAGCAGUCACCACAUCAGCAUGCUUCACUUCUUUGCAAGCCUGAAUCCCACCAUUGGCAUGGGCUUCAAUUAAACGAGCUGCCAUGACUCCAGAAUAUUUUACAGAAUCUGCCUGUGGAAUAUCAUUUUCUCUGUGAACCGCAAGAGAUUUCAAACGAAGUUUCUUUUCCCCAGCCAUUUUAAUAGCAAAUCGAAAUAGAUAUGGUAACAUUUCAGCAAGGGGCAAAAGCACUUUCUUCAAUUUUGUUUCACGCCAUAAUCCUGUAUAGCAGUCGAGGACGCUAAUGAUCCUUGCACUCAUAUCAACACAAAGCCCUACCCAAUGCUGUAAAUCAAUGAGAAAUGGAAUGUAGACCACAGCAGAACCUGUAGGGGUACAUUCAAGUAGGUCGUGAUCAAACCCAUACAUUCCCUUAUCAGCAGACUUGACGAAUUUUGGGUAAUGCUUGGAUAAUUCAACCACAAAUGUUGAAUCAAUGAAUGAAACGGCUUGGUGCUUUUCAAUGAUAUUAUUUGCACACCAGUUAAUCCUUAUGCUAUUAAUGAAGAUGUCCAUAACCUGUAAAUAGAGUAGAACGCAUAUUAGGUGUUUAAGGCAAACCCUAUGUUUAUAGAGCACUAUGUAAUCUUUUUUACCCACAUGAUAUUUAUCAUACCAUUUUGGGUACAACGGUCUUGAACUCAACAAUCUCACGCAACUCAAUGGCGGAAAGUGUUCGACAAGCCCCAAAAUCAAUGUCCCUAAUAACAGCCAUAUGCAUAAGUUUUAAGUAAUAUGAGUCAAACAAAAUAAAAUAGCAUAAGGUUGGAAUUAAUACCCAGACAUGCCAUAUAAGCGAUUUAUCUUGUUCUUACGGCUAACAUCAUGCCCAAAAGUAACAGACCUACCGCUUGUGGAAGAGGCUAUUACGGAUUCAUGUUGGAGCUGUGAGCAACGUAAACGUGAUUAGAAAAUCAGAUGUUAUCUUAAUAAUCAGGAAAUUAGAGUUUGCAUAAUCCUAAACAUUCUGUGUUAAACUUAAUGGCAUGUAAUUUGUUCUAAAACCUUGAUGUUUGUACGGGCAAAACACUUACAAUAUGACAAAACUUUUUAAAUAUUUUUUUGUUAUAUUAGGUAAAACCCUGAACCAUGCUGAAAAUACAUGAUGUAUCGCAAAAUAUAACCGUGUGCAUAUUAAACCAGUGUUUUGUUUUUAAAAACCAUGAAUAAGUAAACUUGACCUACCACAAAACUACGAAAUCCAUAUUUAACAAUAUCUUAACCAUUCAUGCACCCAAACUAGACCUAACACAAAACUAUGAAAUCCAUAUUUAACACUAGCUAAACGCAUUUAUGCAACCUUGCCAUCAGGGUCCACAAUAUCAUUUGUUGGGGCUGGCAGGGACGGUUCAGAUAUCAUCGGCAUUUGGCUUAAAUUGGCCUAAAAUAAGAAACAGUUGCAUGUAAUUAGUUUGUUAGUGGUAACGAGAGUAAAAAAUAAUGAAUUAUAUGAUCUAACAUUAUCGGCUGUAGCAGGUGGGUCAGCAAGUCCUUCUCCAUCUUUAUCUGAAGCACCGUCAUCAACCAUUGGCCCGGGGGUUGACUUACAUUGGGCAGUCAAAUCAGACUCUAUCUGCAAGGCAAACAACAGACGUUAGAGCCAAUACACGGAAAAAAAAAAACAUAAAAACUAUAUGAGAAGGUUUGAACUCACUAUGCAUGGGAUGGUGUACUGCAACUCUGGCUGACCUACAUUGUAUGCAACACCAUCCAUGUCAACAAGCACCACAUAUGGAUCAGGGAGGCUGGGCUCAGAUUCAAAGAACUCAUUGACGUCUGUGGGAGGAGGAAGCAAACACUGAGUAUGACUCGCUGCAGCUGGAAUAGGUUUAUCAGGGCUAGUUUGGAUAUCAUCAAGGCCCUCUCCACCUAUCCCAUCACCGGGGGCAUCAACCAAGAUAUUAUCUUGAUGGGAUACAGUUUUAUCACCAGAAACAGACUUUUCCGCAAACAUAUCGUCUAAUUCUUUAGCCGGCAGAGUGGAAGAGCCAAUGUCAUGAAUCCCAUCUCUAGCUGACUCAUCCUCAGUGGUAUCAGUCACCACCCCUCCAACUUUGUUGAUAUUGACAGCUUCAGGGGAUACAUGUUUAUCAGCAGAAACAGACUUUUCAGCUGAACUGUUGUCUACUGCUGGCGUCAGGAUGGUGGCUGCUGUUGGGCCAUUGUUGCCUCUCUUCCGUUUCUGUUUGUUAUGAAAACAAUACUUGAAUUAGGAAGAACUCUCAUAAAAUACAGAAUAUUUACAAAACUGUUAAACGUAUACCAGAGAACUACGCAAUCCAGGCCUAGUCGGUGGGGAUAAGCGACCUAUGGGGGUUGUAGUCUGUGUAGGUUCUGCGUCGUUAAUAUCAUGCAUCACUUCACCUAAGACUUGAUCAAUAAAUCCAGAACCACUGUUCUCCUUCGACUGGGCUACCCUGCCAUUAUCCAAAACAACAAGGGAGGAUCCCUUCUUCCCACCUAAUCCCUCACCCACAUCUCUUGACUUAGGACCACUGUGACGCUUAUUCUUCCUGCCAUGGCUUUCCCUCAACAAGCUGCUCAAUCUAGCCUCUGAAUCAGCUAUAGCCUUCAACAUACGCGACUCCAUACGCUUGUCUUUCAUGUCAAUGUAAUUUUUAAUCGAAUCUGGUAUGUGAACCUGCCCUUUAGUUUUACGGGGUUUAGAAGAGCCAGGCAAGGAAGCAUCAGGUUGUAUGGUAUCCUCAUCAACACAAUCAUAAGUGCUACAUACAUCACUGUUGUCAUUCCUUUCAUCGGGUAGCGAAUCAGGGACAACACCACCUGAAAACAUGGACCCCUUGAAUAUGUGCUCCUCUUUUAUUAGUUGCAACAUGUAGUCAACAGAUAGAUCUUCUUCGUCCUCGACCCAACCUGACUUGAAAGCGUCACCAGUCGGUGUUCCACUCCAAAUAGAAACGACUUUAAUCUGAAAAACAAAGAGUUAGACUUUAGCCACAUGAUAUUAUGUUUUAUUACAUGUACUAAAAGUAUUUAUACUGUUACUAACAGUGAAAUAUAGAUUAUGUACCCAUGUGCUCCUUAAAAACAACAUGUUAUUUCAUCAUAUAACCAGAUGUUGUAAUGCAUACCGCCAUACGUGACUUACUAAGGUAACAGGGUAUGGUUAUUAAAAAGAACUGUGAUCAUAUUUAAAACCAUGCAGUUUUUGCAUAAAUCAUGAUAUAAAUAAUAAAUAGUAAAUCAGCACAUAUUAAAAAAAAACUUAACCACAUGCUACACAUUUACAGCCAUGUUAUGAUUAUUCUAAAGAAACUGUGAUCAGAUUUAAAACCAUACAAUUUAUACAGAAAUCAUGAUAUAAAUAACAAAUAGUAAAUCAACACAUAUUAAAAACCUAAGCCACAUGCUACACGUUUACACAGAAUGAUAUGAAUCUAUAAUUGUAUGUUUUUGAUAGGAAAAGAAGAGGUUUUCAUGAUAAAAACGAGCAUAUGAAAAUUAAUUUACGAGAGCAGAGAUGCAUUGCUCACCUGAGACUGCCGGUCGACUUUCCAAACAAGAUCCAACUUCAAACUCCAUAAGCGCUCAAUUUCCGUAUCUGUUUCCUCCAUUUCUGAGUCACUAUCUUCAACGGCUUCAGGGAAUUGCAAUUCUCUGAUUCGAGGAACACUUUGCAGUAGCAAAAGUUGGAGUGCGUGUGGGAAACCUUGAACGGUGAUAGAUUUCCGCAUAAGUUUAUCAGCUCCCCUUGCAGUAACACUCUUCAACGUCAUUAGGAAUGACAUAGUCCCCCAAGGAAAAUUUAGAAACAUGUCUAAAUUUUCUGCCAUGUCCGCAUGGACCGGAGAGAUUUUACUUCUACCCGAGGUUGGGCAUAAAACGCCAUCAAUCAAGGCCAGCACAGCGUAACGUAAACGAAUUCCUUGAUCUUGAACCACUCGCUUCUUCAGCCUGCCAACAACCCACUCAACAGAUACAUCACUGCGGUCAAAUAGGCUGUACCAAUACUUGCCAGGCGCCAAUUUUCGUUUCCCUUUCCUCUCUUUCAUACGAGGCGGUUUGUCGCAGUUCAAACCGGUAACAUUUUGAAACUCAGAAAUGGAAAACCGAACAGGGGAUCCAGAGAAAAUUACCCAAAUUUCUUGUUUCUUCCUAACAACAAGCUGCCUCGUUAGCAAAAAGUGAAUAAGCUUCCCAGAAUACGCGGCGCUUUCGGAGAAAUCAAAUAAUUUCCCAAACUGAGAUUCCCGGAGAAUUUUCAUGUCCUCCGCAUCUAACGCGUUAGCGAUGUCAUCUAUCAAAGACAGUUCACUGUAGGACUGCACUCUCUCACCGUUGGGCUCGGAUCCAGACCUAAACAAUCGACGGGGUAAAGAGUUGUUCAUCAUCUACAAGUCGAACCCUUUUCUGCACAAAAUAGAAGUUUAUAAAUCAGAAACAGUAUGUACCUAAGAUUUCAGUUAAUCGGAAUAUAGAUUGGAGAAAUAAAGAAGUUGAUGGCGAUCGAGAACGUUGAAUAGCUUAAACCGCAUAUAUUUGUGAAAUUACCUGUAGCCCGAUGGAAUUGAUUGCCUAACUGCGAGAUUGAAUCUAAAGAAACGAUAUGUAUGAGAAACAAUAUAGAUUUGAAAUAGAUAUUCGGAGAGUUUGCAGAAUCUAUGGGUAGAGAACGGAAGACGUUUCCUCUCGGAAAACCAGCAAAUGAAGCGGCGCUAGGUUUUUUUUUGGAGCUCCUGAUAUUUCAAAAAAUUCGAUAAUAAAUCGAUUUCUCGAAAUUAAAAUCUAUAUCGUUUGCGUCCACAUACAGCAUUGCUCUUACCAAGGUUUUCAAAAUUCAAAUUUCUGCAAUCAUACGCCUAUACACCUAUAUGUCCCCUAACCAAGAACACAGUUAUAGGGGGUUGCGGGUAAUUUCAGAUACGUCUCCGACAGACACUAUAGACUCAUAGUUAGUUUCUAUAUUAUUAUUGAUUUCAUGGUCAUCUAGUGCAUAUACCCUUUUUUUAAUCGGCUUUAUUAAGGUCCUGAAUGAAUGCUCAUUUUUUAUUUAGUUUUUGAAUUUAGAUUUUAGUUUAUAGAUUUUAGAUUUUAGUUUUAGAUUUUUGUUAUUAUAUUUUUGUUUAAAAAACUCCAAAAUUUUGGUUUUUGAUUUUUGAGAAAAAUAAUGUUGAUUGAGUAAAAACUAGAUUUUUUAAA
Molecule: small RNA, 9366 nt
Filed under: Arabidopsis thaliana (thale cress)
Lineage: Eukaryota; Viridiplantae; Streptophyta; Magnoliopsida; Brassicales; Brassicaceae
Description: ATSL149300
Source: RNAcentral